This is a non-coding RNA of Vicia faba (fava bean), 294 nucleotides long. The record is from the annotation of a GenBank genome assembly. NCBI's taxonomy places the organism in Eukaryota, Viridiplantae, Streptophyta, Magnoliopsida, Fabales, Fabaceae.
AUGGAUUCCAAAAAGGCAAUCCUCAUCCUUGGCCUAUUGGCCAUGGUUCUUCUUAUCUCUUCAGAGGUUUCAGCUAGGGACUUAACUAAUACCAAAGAGGAAGUUGUUGAAAAGUCAAAUGAAGUGAAUGAUGCUAAAUAUGGAGGCUACGGUCGUGGAGGUGGUUACCAUAAUGGAGGUGGUUACAACAAUGGUGGUUACAACAAUGGUGGUGGUUACCACAAUGGUGGAGGUGGUUACAACAAUGGUGGCGGACAUGGUGGACAUGGCGGUGCUUCCAACAACGGUAACUAA